GCUAAAAAUCUAACCCUAAAAAUAAUUUAUUUACACUUACCACCUCCUUUUAUUAAACUAAAACAUUUAUAAGAUCUAGUAAAGGCGAUUGAAGUAUCUAUUGGAGUUAUACAUCUAGUACCGCAAGGGAAUAAUGAAAUAAAAAUGAAAUAGUUAUUAAGCACGAAACAGUAGAGACAUUUCCUCGUACCUUUUGCAUCAUGAUUUAACUAGUCUAAUCAAGCAAAAUGAGCUUUAGUUUGAACCCCCGAAACUAAACGAGCUACUUCAGGGCAGCUUUAUGAGCCAACCCGUCUCUGUUGCAAAAGAGUGGGACGACCCUCAAGUAGCGGUGACAAACCUAACGAGUUUAGUGAUAGCUGGUUACUUAAGAAAAGGAUUUUAGUCCAACCUAAAAUUUUUAUAAUAUAUUUAAAUAAGCAUUAAACUUUAGAGCAAUUCAAAUGAGGUACAGCCUAUUUGAAACAGGAUACAACCUAUAUAAUUGGGUAAUUAAGUUACUAUCUAAUAAAGUAGGCCUAAAAGCAGCCAUCUUUUAAAAAGCGUCAUAGCUUAACUAUGCCUGAACCUAAUCUCAUUAAUUUUAAUAAACCCUUAACCUAUAUUAAGUAAUUCUAUACCCCUAUAGAACAUAUUAUGUUAAAACUAGUAACAAGAAUUAAAAUUUCUCCUAAAUACAAGUGUAAAUCAGACCGGAUCAACCACUGAUUCUUAACACCUAUGAACAAAUAGUAAUAACCAAUCAAGAAAACCUUACUACACAUUAUGUUAAUCUAACACAAGAGUAUUUCAAGACAGAUUAAAAGAAAAAGAAGGAACUCGGCAAACAUUAACCUCGCCUGUUUACCAAAAACAUCGCCUCCUGUAGACAUAUAAGAGGUCCAGCCUGCCCAGUGACUCUGUUCAACGGCCGCGGUAUCCUAACCGUGCGAAGGUAGCGUAAUCACUUGUUCUUUAAAUGAGGACUAGUAUGAAUGGCACCACGAAGGUUAAACUGUCUCCUUUUUCUAAUCAGUGAAACUAAUCUCCCCGUGAAGAAGCGGGAAUAAUCCUAUAAGACGAGAAGACCCUAUGGAGCUUUAAACUUUCAGCAAUUAUCUCACCUUUUAUCAUAACUAACAAAAUUAAUCUUGAUAACCUGACUGCUGGUUUUCGGUUGGGGUGACCGCGGAGUACAACUUAACCUCCACGAUGAAUGGACCCGCUCCUAAACAGAGAGCUACAACUCCAUGUAUCAAAAAAUUGACACCAUUGAUCCAAUAACUUGAUCAACGAACCAAGUUACCCUAGGGAUAACAGCGCAAUCCAUCUCAAGAGUUCAUAUCGACAAAUGGGUUUACGACCUCGAUGUUGGAUCAGGGUAUCCCAGUGGUGCAGCCGCUACUAAUGGUUCGUUUGUUCAACGAUUAAAACCCU
This 1416-nucleotide ribosomal RNA is filed under the name Hylomantis aspera (rough leaf frog). RNAcentral describes it as "partial 16S ribosomal RNA". It matches the Rfam family "Bacterial large subunit ribosomal RNA", at positions 393 to 2597 of the family's 2925-position model. The record is from RNAcentral. Lineage: Eukaryota; Metazoa; Chordata; Amphibia; Anura; Hylidae.